Molecule: ribosomal RNA, 115 nt
Filed under: Klebsiella pneumoniae
Lineage: Bacteria; Pseudomonadati; Pseudomonadota; Gammaproteobacteria; Enterobacterales; Enterobacteriaceae
Source: RNAcentral
UGGCGGCACUAGCGCGGUGGUCCCACCUGACCCCAUGCCGAACUCAGAAGUGAAACGCCGUAGCGCCGAUGGUAGUGUGGGGUCUCCCCAUGUGAGAGUAGGGAACUGCCAGACA